RNAcentral lists this ribosomal RNA (508 nucleotides) under Psyllobora sp. BYU CO304. RNAcentral describes it as "partial 16S ribosomal RNA". The stretch from base 382 to 508 matches the Rfam family "Archaeal large subunit ribosomal RNA", at positions 2542 to 2669 of the family's 2987-position model. The record is from RNAcentral. Lineage: Eukaryota; Metazoa; Arthropoda; Insecta; Coleoptera; Coccinellidae.
UCUUUUUGAAUAAUAAUUUAAAGUAGGGCCUGCCCACUGAGUAUUUGAAGGGCCGCAGUAUAUUGACUGUGCAAAGGUAGCAUAAUCAUUAGUUUUUUAAUUGAAAGCUAGAAUGAAGGGUUUGAUGAGAAAAUAACUUUCUAUAAUUGAAUUUUAAAAACUUUAUUUUUAAGUAAAAAAGCUUAAAUUUUUAUAAUAGACGAGAAGACCCUAUAGAGUUUUAUUUUUUAUAGAAUUUAAUUUUUUAGAAUUUAAAUAUUUUUAUUUUAUGAAAAAUUUGAUUGGGGUGAUUAAAAAAUUAAAGAAACUUUUUUAUUAUAAUUACAUUAAUUUAUGAAAAUUUGAUCCAUUAAAAUGAUUAUAAGAUUAAAUUACCUUAGGGAUAACAGCGUUAUUUUUUUUUAGAGUUCUAAUCGAAAAAAAAGAUUGCGACCUCGAUGUUGGAUUAAAGUUAAUUUUAGGUGCAGAAGCUUAAAUAUUUGGUCUGUUCGACCAUUAAAACUUUACA